RNAcentral lists this long non-coding RNA (2500 nucleotides) under Equus caballus (horse). RNAcentral describes it as "lncRNA (ENSECAG00000045397.1)". The record is from RNAcentral. Lineage: Eukaryota; Metazoa; Chordata; Mammalia; Perissodactyla; Equidae.
AAAAAGGCAGGGAAUUGGCGAGGGGAAGGCAGCUUCCUCUCCAAUUACGGUGAGGGGCACACACCUUGAAGGUCUCUUUGAAUUGCGGCCGCCAGCCCCUGCCCCCUCCCCUCUCCUCCGCCCCCUCCGCCGGGCCAUUCAUCGCUACAUUAGGGAGGAGGCAGAGGGUGACGAUGCUCCCCCAAGUUCACUUCUCGCUUGUUACAGGCGACCCAUUUAGAGCUGAAUGACUAUGUUCAGAGACAGCUCUAAAUGACACCCUCCACCUCUUCACGGAGCCACUUGGUUUUGUCUUUUUUUUUUUUUUUUGUAUCCCGGAGAAAUAAUUGAUAAACCGAACGGCCGGCCACCUUAAAGCUGGGCGCCUCCCUGGCCACCUGGUUAAAAUUCCUCCUCCGCUCCCCACCUCCCCACAUCCAUUUUGCUCUGUGCUGUUUAAACAAUACUUCAUCAAAUGCAGCCUGGAGCAAAUAAGAAAGCUCAGUAGAGUAAAUAAAAAGUCAAAAAAAAAAUCACCGGCUGGAGGGUAAGUACUUUUAUUCCUGCACUUUCAUUGCCUGGGGAAUUAUUAUUCCAUUGCCCGAUCUGGGAGGGAGGGAGGGCCGAGGAGGGCCGUGUUAUUCACAAAAUGGAUUGCUUCUCUCCCUUUUCACUCCCCUGGCUCUCGAGAGCCCACUGAUUACAACCAAGUGUGGCCAUCCAUUCCGUCUUAUUGACAAAGGUCCUUAAUUACCGCGGCAGCAGUAAUACCUGCUAUUAAAUUCUGCUAAACAGAGGCUGCAAAUUAGCUGUGGAUCUCAGGCACCUUUUGUGUGUAAUUAUGGCGAGUGGGAUUGACGGGGAGGCCGGAUAACUGACCCCAGCCAGAGCAGCGGGGAAACCUUUGUUUAUCACCUGCGGUGGGGGCCAAAAUGUGAAAUUAAAAGCUCUCCAUCAGCUGAAGGCCUUGGGAAGGCCCAGGGGAAGAAGAAGGAAAAAAAAAAAAAAAGCAACAGACCCAGCAAACUGUGCUUACCGGUAUUUAUAAGCAUUUUGCUCCACUGCAAUUUACACUGACAGUUGAUUAACCGAAAGCUCUGCUAAUUCUGCGGGCAAGAUGCUUCCUCAGACAUGCUUCCUCAGUGCACCAGGCAGAAACUGGAAAAAGAUUACAAUUCAACAUGGCAAAUGCUAAAACAGAGCUCCAGAAGCCAUGCCUAUAAUACACACAAGACUUUGUUUCAAAUCAGUUUUUCAGUUGAGGAGGAAUUCAAACUCAGGAAAAGAAGAGGAAUUUACAUUUGACCACAAAGACCGGAGAGGUCUUUGCACACGUUUCUUAAGGGAAAGACAUUUAGGAACUUGGAAACGUUUAUGCCCUAUAAUCAUAGAAUGUGAGGAGCAGCCAGGCGUCUCUGAGGCCAGCAAGGUUAAUGACAUGAUUUUGGAGAUGAGAAAAUUGAGGCCAGAGAAAUCAAAUGACUCAUCCACAUCUGGGACAGGCCAAAGCAGGCACAGGGAUAAAGAACAACUGUUGAGAGAUGGAACUUGCAGCCCAGAUCCUUGGCCGGAGCGUCCCAGCGCUCUGCUUCAUCCAGUCCCAGCUGAUCAGAGUUUCAGCAAAGAGAGAACAUGCUUUCUUAACGGUACACAUGUUCGCUGAGAGUGGAGGAGGGGGGAUGAAGGAGAAGCAAGUUUUCCAUCUGAAAAGAACAUGAGCAUCUGCCUAGCAAUGAACUUCCCUGCUCUUGAACUUGUCAAUUCUUUUCCACCUCUUCAUUCAACACAAUUCAAAAGGCAUAACCUGAAAAAGGGCAUGAUGGAAAGAAGUACUGAGAUCCACUAAAGAAAAGGCACAAUAGUUAAUCAUCUCUUCUCUGGCAUCCUUCCUUCAACCCUACAAAAUAAACAAGUUGAGAAGUUCUUCAAUUUCUGUGACUGUAAGCGAUGUGGUGAAUUAAUGUUCCUAAAUGCUAGCACUGGGUAAAUGAAUUCAUUGUUGAGAAAGUUCUGGAUGAGCCAGUAGCCAAGUUAUUAAUUCCAUUAUAUAUCCUUGUUUGUGUCUGCUCUGGGAUAGAGAUGAGAGAGGAACAUUGUCAUGAAGAAACCCAUUAAAUAUACCUGCCUUUGUAAAAUCUUGCAUCUCAAACUAAAGUUGUACUAUGCUUUUCUUAAAGAACCCAAAAUUCUCAGUGGCCCUACCAAGAUAGGCAAUAAGUUUCUCAAAAAUCACAUUGGCACAUAGGUGCUUACAACUACUCAAUGAAUUUUUAACCAAUACGUAUCCACCUGGAAUUAAACCAAGAUGGACUCAUUAGAAGAGCUGUCAGGAUCGCUACCCAACAUGGUAACUCUCAGGACAGACAGUGGGAAGUCUCUAAAUGUCCCUUUGCAGGGCUUUCAAAGGGCUCAAUUCAGGUGUGGGAAACCUGUCUUUAAUAUUUUCAUUGCUGCUCCCAAUGUACUUCCAAUGUUAUUAAUUCACGUGCAGCAUUUCAUUAAAUGGGAUCCUCUUUGCAAA